CAGCAUCCCCCUCUGCUGUCUCAGAGUCUGGGAUGCAGCUUCUGUAAAGUGAAGAAGGCCUGUGUGAACCAAUUAUUCAAUGGGAACUCUACCUUUCUACAAAUCAAGAACACAAAGAUCCUCAAACUGGUUGCCCUGACCUGACGAACUAUCGCUGUACAAAAAAAAGAAGGUCACUGUAACAGAGUCGGUAGAGUGCAGGUCAACAGAUGAACGGGUUAUCCAAGUUAGUGGGAUGUGUUUUGAGCAGCUGCUUUACUGUAGUCUGCUUCAUGUUCAGCUUCCCCUUGUUGUGUGGGCGGAUGAACAGAAAGAACAAAAGGUAGUUCUGGUGUAGAAGUGC
Notolabrus celidotus (New Zealand spotty) is the source of this 343-nucleotide long non-coding RNA. RefSeq lists it as uncharacterized. NCBI's taxonomy places the organism in Eukaryota, Metazoa, Chordata, Actinopteri, Labriformes, Labridae. The transcript has 3 exons. The record is from RefSeq and is a predicted model, not a curated record.